GGAGGGCUGAUAACUACUGGAAACGGUAGCUAAUACCGCAUAACGUCGCAAGACCAAAGAGGGGGACCUUCGGGCCUCUUGCCAUCGGAUGUGCCCAGAUGGGAUUAGCUAGUAGGUGGGGUAACGGCUCACCUAGGCGACGAUCCCUAGCUGGUCUGAGAGGAUGACCAGCCACACUGGAACUGAGACACGGUCCAGACUCCUACGGGAGGCAGCAGUGGGGAAUAUUGCACAAUGGGCGCAAGCCUGAUGCAGCCAUGCCGCGUGUAUGAAGAAGGCCUUCGGGUUGUAAAGUACUUUCAGCGGGGAGGAAGGGAGUAAAGUUAAUACCUUUGCUCAUUGACGUUACCCGCAGAAGACGCACCGGCAAACUCCGUGCCAGCAGCCG
This 388-nucleotide ribosomal RNA is filed under the name uncultured Escherichia sp. Its description in RNAcentral is "bacterial SSU rRNA". It matches the Rfam family "Bacterial small subunit ribosomal RNA", at positions 135 to 517 of the family's 1533-position model. The record is from RNAcentral. Lineage: Bacteria; Pseudomonadati; Pseudomonadota; Gammaproteobacteria; Enterobacterales; Enterobacteriaceae.